This 749-nucleotide ribosomal RNA is filed under the name Bacillus subtilis. Its description in RNAcentral is "bacterial SSU rRNA". It matches the Rfam family "Bacterial small subunit ribosomal RNA", at positions 38 to 768 of the family's 1533-position model. The record is from RNAcentral. Lineage: Bacteria; Bacillati; Bacillota; Bacilli; Caryophanales; Bacillaceae.
GGAGGGGGUGCUAUACAUGCAAGUCGAGCGAAUGGAUUAAGAGCUUGCUCUUAUGAAGUUAGCGGCGGACGGGUGAGUAACACGUGGGUAACCUGCCCAUAAGACUGGGAUAACUCCGGGAAACCGGGGCUAAUACCGGAUAACAUUUUGAACCGCAUGGUUCGAAAUUGAAAGGCGGCUUCGGCUGUCACUUAUGGAUGGACCCGCGUCGCAUUAGCUAGUUGGUGAGGUAACGGCUCACCAAGGCAACGAUGCGUAGCCGACCUGAGAGGGUGAUCGGCCACACUGGGACUGAGACACGGCCCAGACUCCUACGGGAGGCAGCAGUAGGGAAUCUUCCGCAAUGGACGAAAGUCUGACGGAGCAACGCCGCGUGAGUGAUGAAGGCUUUCGGGUCGUAAAACUCUGUUGUUAGGGAAGAACAAGUGCUAGUUGAAUAAGCUGGCACCUUGACGGUACCUAACCAGAAAGCCACGGCUAACUACGUGCCAGCAGCCGCGGUAAUACGUAGGUGGCAAGCGUUAUCCGGAAUUAUUGGGCGUAAAGCGCGCGCAGGUGGUUUCUUAAGUCUGAUGUGAAAGCCCACGGCUCAACCGUGGAGGGUCAUUGGAAACUGGGAGACUUGAGUGCAGAAGAGGAAAGUGGAAUUCCAUGUGUAGCGGUGAAAUGCGUAGAGAUAUGGAGGAACACCAGUGGCGAAGGCGACUUUCUGGUCUGUAACUGACACUGAGGCGCGAAAGCUGCCCUCC